AUGGCCACCUGCCUCUCAGACAUGAUCAGUGACCAUUCCCUUGAUUUCCUGGGUUUGCAAGAAACUAUGAAAAAAGAGUUUACUCCUAAAUGCCUAAGGAGAAUCGAUCCCUUUGACAUUUUCCAGUGGAAUUGGGUGCCUUCCACAGGCAAAUCUGGAGGCAUCCUAUGCGGUACGCGGAGGGAUAAGUUUGAUAUAGUCUCUUGUACUAAGGGCAAAUACAUACUGCAACUAGUGUUGCAUGACAUACAAAAAAAGAUCCAGUGGGGUUUGCUGGUAGCCUAUGGAUCGGCACAUGAUGAAUUCAAAAAUGAAUUCCUAGUUGAGCUAGCUUCCUGUUGCAGUGGCAUGACCGUACCCUACAUAGUAGGAGGGGAUUUUAAUAUCCUACGACAUUCGGGAGAGAAGAAUAAGAAGAUGUCGAACAACAAAGCCACUGACUUGUUUAAUUCCAUCAUCAAUACACUAGCUCUUAGGGAAAUUCACAUCAGUGGAGGGAAGUAUACAUGGACCAAUAACCAGAAUUUCCCCACACUGGAGAAACUUGAUCGAAUUCUCAUGUCAGAAUGCUGGGAGGAUAUAUUUCCCCUGGUAUCUGUAAAGAAAUUAGUUCGUGAGAUCUCUGAUCAUAGUCCACUUUUGUUAUCCUCU
RNAcentral lists this ribosomal RNA (651 nucleotides) under Triticum aestivum (bread wheat). RNAcentral's name for it is "partial small subunit ribosomal RNA". The record is from RNAcentral. Lineage: Eukaryota; Viridiplantae; Streptophyta; Magnoliopsida; Poales; Poaceae.